GAUGAACGCUGGCGGCGUGCCUAAUACAUGCAAGUCGAGCGAACAGACGAGGAGCUUGCUCCUCUGACGUUAGCGGCGGACGGGUGAGUAACACGUGGAUAACCUACCUAUAAGACUGGGAUAAUUUCGGGAAACCGGAGCUAAUACCGGAUAAUAUAUUGAACCGCAUGGUUCCAUAGUGAAAUACGGAUUUACUGUCACUUAUAGAUGGAUCCGCGCCGCAUUAGCUAGUUCGUAAGGUAACCGCUUACCAAAGCAACGUUGCAUAGCUGACUCGAGAGAGUGAUCAGCCACACUAGAACAUGAGCACGCUCCAUACCCCUACGAGAGGCAGCAGUAGGGAAUCUUCCGCAAUGAGCGAAAGCCUGACGAAGACCCGCCACGUGGGUUAUGAAGGUUUUCGGAUCGUAAAACUCUGUUAUUAGGGAAGAACAAAUGUGUAAGUAACUAUGCACGUCUUGACGGUACCUAAUCAGAAAGCCACGGCUAACUACGUG
This 497-nucleotide ribosomal RNA is filed under the name uncultured bacterium. RNAcentral describes it as "partial 16S ribosomal RNA". It matches the Rfam family "Bacterial small subunit ribosomal RNA", at positions 28 to 507 of the family's 1533-position model. The record is from RNAcentral.